CGUGUAGGCGGUCAGGUAAGUGGAAUGUGAAAUGCCCCGGCUCACCCGGGGACCGGCAUCCCAAACUGCCUGGCUUGAGUAUGGGAGAGGAUGGAGGAAUUCCUGGUGUAGCGGUGAAAUGCGUAGAUAUCAGGAGGAACACCGGUGGCGAAGGCGUCCAUCUGGCCCAAUACUGACGCUGAGGCGCGAAAAGCUAGGGGAGCAAACG
RNAcentral lists this ribosomal RNA (208 nucleotides) under uncultured Latescibacterota bacterium. RNAcentral describes it as "uncultured Latescibacteria bacterium partial 16S ribosomal RNA". It matches the Rfam family "Bacterial small subunit ribosomal RNA", at positions 568 to 774 of the family's 1533-position model. Lineage: Bacteria; Pseudomonadati; Candidatus Latescibacterota. The record is from RNAcentral.